GGAUCCAGACUUUGAUCCUGGCUCAGGAUGAACGCUAGCUACAGGCUUAACACAUGCAAGUCGAGGGGAAACGAUAGAGAAAGCUUGCUUUUUCUAGGCGUCGACCGGCGCACGGGUGAGUAACGCGUAUCCAACCUGCCCAUCACUUGGGGAUAACCUUGCGAAAGUAAGACUAAUACCCAAUGAUAUCUCUAGAAGACAUCUGAAGGAGAUUAAAGAUUUAUCGGUGAUGGAUGGGGAUGCGUCUGAUUAGCUUGUUGGCGGGGUAACGGCCCACCAAGGCGACGAUCAGUAGGGGUUCUGAGAGGAAGGUCCCCCACAUUGGAACUGAGACACGGUCCAAACUCCUACGGGAGGCAGCAGUGAGGAAUAUUGGUCAAUGGGCGAGAGCCUGAACCAGCCAAGUAGCGUGCAGGAAGACGGCCCUAUGGGUUGUAAACUGCUUUUAUAAGGGAAUAAAGUGAGAGUCGUGACUCUUUUUGCAUGUACCUUAUGAAUAAGGACCGGCUAAUUCCGUGCCAGCAGCCGCGGUAAUACGGAAGGUCCGGGCGUUAUCCGGAUUUAUUGGGUUUAAAGGGAGCGUAGGCCGGAGAUUAAGCGUGUUGUGAAAUGUAGACGCUCAACGUCUGCACUGCAGCGCGAACUGGUUUCCUUGAGUACGCACAAAGUGGGCGGAAUUCGUGGUGUAGCGGUGAAAUGCUUAGAUAUCACGAAGAACUCCGAUUGCGAAGGCAGCUCACUGGAGCGCAACUGACGCUGAAGCUCGAAAGUGCGGGUAUCGAACAGGAUUAGAUACCCUGGUAGUCCGCACGGUAAACGAUGGAUGCCCGCUGUUGGUCUGAAUAGGUCAGCGGCCAAGCGAAAGCAUUAAGCAUCCCACCUGGGGAGUACGCCGGCAACGGUGCAACUCAAAUGAAUUGACGG
Molecule: ribosomal RNA, 924 nt
Filed under: uncultured Bacteroidota bacterium
Lineage: Bacteria; Pseudomonadati; Bacteroidota
Description: bacterial SSU rRNA
Rfam family: Bacterial small subunit ribosomal RNA
Source: RNAcentral